GCUCAGUUGGCAGAGCGUUGCACUGGUAAUGCAAAGGUCAUGAGUUCAAAUCUCGUUAGUGC
This 62-nucleotide transfer RNA is filed under the name Hemiselmis tepida. It matches the Rfam family "tRNA", at positions 10 to 69 of the family's 71-position model. From Rfam's summary of the family: Transfer RNA (tRNA) molecules are approximately 80 nucleotides in length. The record is from RNAcentral. Lineage: Eukaryota; Cryptophyceae; Cryptomonadales; Hemiselmidaceae.